ACCUUCACCCUGCAGAUUGCCGGGUACAACACGGCCAUGACGCAAACAUCCGACGGUUCAACAGGAAAUGUGACCGGACAGGUAUCUAUAGACUGCCUGAACAGCAGACAUUGCUUACAUCUGUGAUAUGAAAACAGACAACAUGAGGCCACAGGUGACGUCAAGAGACAAGAACCGUUAUCAGCAGCCGUUAUGUCAUCUCAAGGGAAGUAGAACACCAUACUUCACAUGCCACACUCGAUCUUGACCUCGAUCGGGAAGGCACACAGACGAUGAGACGAGUGAAGCAAUAACGGUGACUCAGGCCCCGCCACACACGUGCGGAUCACUCACACCCGCUUUCCAUACACCGCGCGCGGCCAGAGUGAACGAGUGCACGCUUACUCCAGGGGAUUCCCCUUCCUUCAUUCCGCAGUCACUUCAGGCCCUCGCCUGGCGGUUGUACCCAGUUACCUGCGCCGAGCUGUCGCAACUCUCAGGUGAGGAUCAUCGGCAUCGUUUACACGAGAUAAGUCGCUUUGUGACACGUGACAACUCCUCACUUUCCUUCUUCAUUCGGUUUUGUUUGUUUAUAUAUUGUUUGUUUUGUAUGGGUGGAUGAGAGGAGAAACCGAACAGUCUACAUUCCAUCUCUCCCCUACUCAAAAGGUAUCUAGGUAUCAACAUUUUGCAAUAAUUAAAAAACAUACAGAGGGUUUGGACUUUUUUGAUUGCAUAAGAAUAUAGAGUGUUUUGCAUGUUAAAUUAUAAAAUUUAACUCUAAGCAGGGCUGGUUUCACAUACACAAAAUGACAAAAUGAAAUGUAUUGAAACUGAACACGUGACCUCAAGUAACUUUCAUCACUGGAUGUACAAACUCCCUUUUCUUUCCAACAGCCAGUGAGAAAAACAGAUUCUAAUGCCUGCGUGACGACUGAACAAGGCAAGGAACAUUUUCCCCCAGCCGCUCAUUUCUUACUGAGCCAGCAGUGUGCUUGCAGCAACUAUAAGGAUGUGGAGGGAUUAUUUCAGGGACUUCUUGUGACUAUCACUGCUUAUGUGAUCUCAUCAUAAUGAAAGACACAGUACAGACAGAAAUGUCAUCCAUCUGCACGGACACACAGUAAACACACCGCACAAUGAAGCACUUGUUUUCGAGAGAUCUGCAUGCUGAAGGAGAAGCAAGCAGGCGGACACACUAAACUCCUCUCACCCAGUGACAAGAUGGCGGAGGGAGUGUCCCUGCCGAUGUGUGUGUGAAUUCCAGGGGAGAGCUUUGGUUUGCUUUGAUUUGAUGAGUUCUUCACAUCCUCCUCUGUACCUCCAUCUGUUGUUACUAGAUUGCCAAGUGACUCUGCUUCGGAGGAUGAUAUGUUUUUCCCGCUAUAGACGAUGACAUCAUCGGCAGAUCUGCGCAUGCGCUGCAGGUAAAACCUCGAUGAGUUUCUAUCAAAAGAAAAUGAAGGUACCUGCCCUGCCACUCGUGAGUCACUGCCUCGUUCUACGACAGUCAUCCUGGCGCGCGGCAAGAUCAAAGGGAAUAGAAGAGUUGUGUUCUCUUUGAUUUCUAAUGCUGAAGGCUUUUGAGGAGCAGACAUUUUUUUUUUUUUUUUGCCGCGGAGCGACAACGGAUCCAUGGCACACGCUUGCUGGACGAAGGUAACGACCAUAGUACGAUAGAUAACUCUCAACUCCACUGAUUUUCAGACAGGAAGACCCAGUGGACUCAUCAUCAUCAUCAUCAUCAUCAUCAUCAGCCGACUGGGACGAGCCUGGCAGUGUCUUAGCGAGUUGUACACACCACCAAUGUUGGGGUACCCUGUUCACUACUCAUACUUCGCGCAGUUUAGUCUCGGGUGGGUUCUGCGACUUUCAUGGUAGUUCGUAGUGAAGCAUUGCCACAGCCAGUCUAAUGAAUGAACAUCAGUGACUACUCCCGCCACCUUUCUACUCUCGCACAAUCCUCAACAUGCACAGUGAGUGGAGCAAGGAAGUGGCUUAUCUGCCAAAACCAGGAGCUGGUCCCCGAAAUAACUUCAACCGCGGUUCCAGUCGACUGAUUUCUCGGUGCUGGAGAGGGAGAUAGCAGCUUCAGUGCCAAGGGUUAGGUUUCGACCCUGAGCCACAUUACUUAUGAAACAGAAGUAGUGUAGCUGACUGCUCGAUGUUAACAAUAGAAGUAUUGUAGCUGACUGCUAGGUGUUAGCCAUGUAACAGAAGUAUUGUAGCUGACUGCUAGGUGUUAGCCAUGCAGCUAGCGCCUGACAGCGACUCGUGGCUGCCAGCCUCGGUGGGAAUUCCCGAGGUCAAGCGACAGCAACAGCAUCACAAGAAAUCCUCUCCCGCCGAUAUUGAUCUGUUGUGACGAGCUGCACACCCCCAUGUGACCGCUAGAGGGAGCUGGCCGGUGUGCGGCGGAAGUUACGCUAGCGAAAGCCAGACAUCUUGACAACCUUUGACCUCCAGCCCCUGUUUCUGACCACGUGACAGUAGGAUGAAGAUGACAGGCGCUCUAUGUCAACCUCUUAUUAUAAUUUAUAAUUAGCUUCUUGGAAAUUGUUUAUAUUUAUCUUCUUGGAAAUUAUUUAAUUAUUUAUGCUAAUAAAUAUUGUCGUAAAGAAAACGCCACAAGUGUGUGUGUGUGAGCUAGAAAAAAUAAAACGAGUCAGUGAGAAGACUAUACAAUGUGUGUGCACGCGCGCGUGUGUGUGUGCACGCGCUGUACACGUGUAUGAAUGUCGCCGUGUUUCUGUUUGCUUGCAAAUCAGCUUACUGCCCUGUCUACACUUGUGUUUCGCUAGAAGAUUGAUAAGCUAACUUAAAAAGUUGUGGCUGAAGCUGUUUCC
RNAcentral lists this long non-coding RNA (2825 nucleotides) under Pomacea canaliculata. RNAcentral describes it as "uncharacterized LOC112570485". The record is from RNAcentral. Lineage: Eukaryota; Metazoa; Mollusca; Gastropoda; Architaenioglossa; Ampullariidae.